RNAcentral lists this ribosomal RNA (489 nucleotides) under uncultured bacterium. RNAcentral describes it as "bacterial SSU rRNA". It matches the Rfam family "Bacterial small subunit ribosomal RNA", at positions 30 to 512 of the family's 1533-position model. The record is from RNAcentral.
AUUGAACGCUGGCGGAAUGCUUUACACAUGCAAGUCGAACGGCAGCAUAGGUGCUUGCACCUGAUGGCGAGUGGCGAACGGGUGAGUAAUACAUCGGAACGUGCCCAGUCGUGGGGGAUAACGUAGCGAAAGUUACGCUAAUACCGCAUACGAUCUACGGAUGAAAGCGGGGGACCGUAAGGCCUCGCGCGAUUGGAGCGGCCGAUGUUAGAUUAGGUAGUUGGUGGGGUAAAGGCUCACCAAGCCGACGAUCUAUAGCUGGUCUGAGAGGAUGAUCAGCCACACUGGGACUGAGACACGGCCCAGACUCCUACGGGAGGCAGCAGUGGGGAAUUUUGGACAAUGGGCGCAAGCCUGAUCCAGCCAUUCCGCGUGCAGGACGAAGGCCUUCGGGUUGUAAACUGCUUUUGUACAGAACGAAAAGCUCUGAGUUAAUACCUCGGGGUCAUGACGGUACUGUAAGAAUAAGCACCGGCUAACUAUGAAAGG